GCUUCCCGAGGUUGACCAGAAGGAUGCCAUAAAAUGUGCUGCGCCCACAUAGGUGAGCGCAUCAUGGGUGGCGGCCGCACUGGCCAAUGUUCACCCCCAGGCAGCAGCACCUGGUGCAGUUUUGGCUGGAGCUGAGCUGGCCACUCUUCUGGCCACAGUGCCUGGGAGCCUUUCAGGUAGCAGAAAUGCUCAGGCGCUGAUCCUACCACUGAUAGGUGCUUGGCGAGUGCCAUGUUCACAGUCACAGUGAGCUUCCUGUUCCCCAGCCCCAGUUCACCACUCCCUCCCCUUAGCUCUCCUUGCCCCCUGCUGUCUGCCAGCUUGCCUCCCCAAGGCUGGCAAGUGCAUGCGUUGAUGCUCUUCCCUUCCCAGUGGAGCCCAGCCAUCUGAGCCUAGUCCAGCUCCCUGAGCACACCUCCAGGGGCAGGCCAAGAAGAGAAAAAAAAAAACCAGUACCACAAAAGCAUCCCAGGUCUGUCCCAGGCAUGCAACCGCAUAAGCCCUUGCAUUCUCCUGAGCUGUAGCUUUUCAUUGCAGCCUCGCCUCCAAGCCAAGUCAAACCCUUGACCUUGUAGCUCUAACAGGAGCUACAGGAGAAAUUUUGAGUCUUUGGAAAAAAAGGAAGGUGGGUAUGGGGCAGACCUGCAGUCCCAGCUACUCUGGAGGCUGAGGCGGAGGAUCACUUGAACCCAGGAGUUCAAGGCCAGUUUGGGCAGCAUUGUGAGACCCCCCUUUCAAUAAAGGAAAAAUAGGAAAUUAAAAAGGGACAAAAAUUGCACCUUUCAGCCUUUCCCCAGCCCCAGGAGCCAUGGGUAAGAAGGUGGUUCCUAGGCCUCUCCCUCCUCUUGAGACCGGUCAUAACCCUAGAGUCUUGAUUCUGGUUCCUGAGGAGGUCCAGUUCUAGAUGCUAAUAUGGGUCAUGCUGAUUUGGGUUCUGUUCUCUCCACACAGAUGGCAUUCCACGGGAGGGACACUACACAGGGGUCACCUUAACCAACUCUUGGGGGGAGGGGAGAGUAAUGCAGUACUCCUCAAGCAGACAGUUCUAGCCCAAGCAAGGGACAGUGGUGACUUUUAGGGUACAUUAGGGUUGAAGGAUGGUAGAGUGUGGCAAGGGGCCCCAUGGAAGUCCAUCUUUGUUUCUGAAAGAAGCCACAGAAUAAUCUCAUUUUGAACUUCAAGUGCUCAAGGAAUACCCUGAAAUCAGAUCUAAUCCUGGACAGGGACAGUAGCUUGUUGGGUCACCUCCUUCUUGUCACUUUGCCUCUUCUGCAAAAUAGAACUGUC
RNAcentral lists this long non-coding RNA (1287 nucleotides) under Marmota monax (woodchuck). Lineage: Eukaryota; Metazoa; Chordata; Mammalia; Rodentia; Sciuridae. The record is from RNAcentral.